UGGGGAAUCUUGGACAAUGGGGGCAACCCUGAUCCAGCCAUGCCGCGUGAGUGAUGAAGGCCUUAGGGUCGUAAAGCUCUUUCGCCUGUGAAGAUAAUGACGGUAGCAGGUAAAGAAACCCCGGCUAACUCCGUGCCAGCAGCCGCGGUAAUACGGAGGGGGUUAGCGUUGUUCGGAAUUACUGGGCGUAAAGCGCACGUAGGCGGACCAGAAAGUUGGGGGUGAAAUCCCGGGGGCUCAACCCCGGAACUGCCUCCAAAACUAUUGGUCUAGAGUUCGAGAGAGGUGAGUGGAAUUCCAAGUGUAGAGGUGAAAUUCGUAGAUAUUUGGAGGAACACCAGUGGCGAAGGCGGCUCACUGGCUCGAUACUGACGCUGAGGUGCGAAAGUGUGGGGAGCAAACAGGAUUAGAUACCCUGGUAGUCCACACCGUAAAACGAUGAAUGCCAGUCGUCGGGUAGCAUGCUAUUCGGUGAUACACCUAACGGAUUAAGCAUUCCGCCUGGGGAGUACGGUCGCAAGAUUAAAACUCAAA
This 534-nucleotide ribosomal RNA is filed under the name uncultured bacterium. RNAcentral describes it as "bacterial SSU rRNA". It matches the Rfam family "Bacterial small subunit ribosomal RNA", at positions 355 to 905 of the family's 1533-position model. The record is from RNAcentral.